GUUAUACUGAUGAAACUUCGGUUAUCAAGGAUGUACCAUAUAUCUACUGAGUAAUGCUAAUAGUUUGCUCUUUGUUGUCCAAUACUUCUAAAUAUGGAUUGGUUGCUCCACUUCAUGUGACUUCGUGAGAGGUGGGAUUAGAUUUCCUGUUCAGUUUAUGUGUUUCAAGAAAGAUAUUUGGAUAAUUUGAGAUUGUCAUUUAUAUUUGGAUGUUCAUUCUUCUCCGCGGGUAUAUUCCCACAUUGAACUGGAUUAUUGCUAUGAUUCGGUUGAUUCAGACAUAUUGUAUCUUGAAUGGCUUUCACCGCUGGGCAAAUCAAGCGAUGGAAGAAUCAUGGCACUUGUGAUGUUAUCUGCUACUCAUUUGCGGGCCUUGCGGUUGUCGUUCUCAUGGCUCUGCCAUUCGCGUUUAUGCAGGGUGAGCUCUCAUCUGUUUGUCUGUUUACUUGGUCGUUCGUAGAGAAUAUAUUUCUGGUGCUUUGUCUUGGUUGAUAGCGUAUUCUGCUCUUGCGUUCUUACUAUCAAGGAGAUGGAUAGAUAUAGAUUCUAGGCAUGUCCUUGGUCCCUGCAAAGUAGUUUUUUUUGCCUUCCAUGCUUUAUUGGUACCUUGCUCUUUUCCACCGUUGGUCAGGAGACAAAUAUAGCAUCAAAUUGGGUAGCAGAAAAUAAGAUUUGUUCUUUUACAAGGAUUACAGUGUGUCCUAUCGACAUCUGGUUUCAGAGCCUGUCAGAUUGGUUUCCAGUUCAUGCUUCUUAGGUUCUGCGGAUAACUAUGGAGCAAUGGACAUUCUUUGCUCCACUGAUGAAUGCAUGCACAAAAGUUGUUCCUUAUUUUUCUGUGCAAUUCAUGAUUUAUUGCCUGGUGGUGUGCAUUCAUGUUACCUUUUCGGAUUGUUCUUUGGUGGUUGAUACAGAUGCAAAAGAAAAUUUGAAAAGUUGGACCAAUGAUAUAGUGCUUGCUAAAAACAACAACUCUAAAUAAUUGUUGCAGGUUAUUUGUGAGGAUAGACCCAAAACUUCUUUCUACAUCUAUACCUUCAUGUUCCUUGUUAAAAGUGUCUUCAAGAAAUGCCAUCUGUUCACUUAUUUCUUUGCUCUUGGCCUUUUCUUCAUUUACAUGUACUCACUGAAACCUGACAUGGCAUGUGUAGCUGAGGAGGCGAGCCAUCAGUGUGAGUUUCAGGAAGAGAUGACAACACAAGUGAUCUUGAUUGGUAACAUGUUUGGAAUUGUUGUGCAUGCAUGGUACGAACAUGUGCAACACUAACAAAACGAAAACAAAAGUGAGCUUGUGGUUUGCGGUGCUUUCCCUCUGAAUUUUCUCAUUAGUAUGUCCAGAAAGGCAUAUUAGUGGAAGAGCAUACAAGAAAACCUUAACAUGUUAGGAACUUUUUCAUGUACUAGAAGGUUGUUGUACAGAAAUUUUCUUCUGAAACCAUCUCAUAAUCUUAGAUUUCCCAUUAGUUGGUUGUUGGUCAGUUCUAAAACUAUCUGUACAUUUUGCCCAAGGAAUUUGUUUUCUUAUAGUUCAUUGAUUAUUUUGGAUUAACUGAAUGUGAUCUUCCCAAUCUAAUAUAUGUACUUUUAGCUCUAAGGACUAGCAAGACUUAAUGAUGCAGGUUGUGAUUGUGAAUGAAGUACCAGUUGUUGCUAAUUUCGUAUUUUUGUUUGUACAACUCAGGUGUUUGAUGCAUUUCUUCUCCAGAAAAGGGAUAAGUAUCUGAGGUCAUAUCGGAUCGAGUGAUAGCAGAGGGUCUCAGGCCUGAUGAAUCGAAUGUUGACGUGGGACCAGUUUUUGUGAUGUCCAGCUCAUCGUCCACUGAGGCACCGCAGAAGAUGGUCCAAGGCAAAGUUAGGCAUCUUCCUGUAGUGUGGUCAAUGCCAUGUUGGACACUGCCAAGUUCCUCUGUGAUGCAAUUUCAAGAAUGGAAAAGGUAGCAGAACAAGGCAGUGCUAUAGCAACUGCUGUGGAAGGGGUCGAUGGGGAAAUAGAUUUGCAGAUAUAGUCUUUUCCAGUUUCUCAAGGCCACCCAUGACAUAUUCUAUUCAGGCCUCUUUGAUUAACUAGCUGAUGUUAUAUUUUGGGUCCUUCAGGUCCUCACACACUCAUAGAAAAUCUUCGAGAUCAUAUGUUCAAGCCUUCCUUGUUUGUCCACUAUCAUGAUUGAAAAUAGCAGGUAAAUUGGUACUGCCAAGAAUACAUAUGAUGCGAAAAUUUUGUAUGACUGAACCAUUUUAGUAUGACUGAAUCUUAUUAUAUGGUACACUUA
This is a non-coding RNA of Aegilops tauschii subsp. strangulata, 2270 nucleotides long. The record is from RefSeq and is a predicted model, not a curated record. NCBI's taxonomy places the organism in Eukaryota, Viridiplantae, Streptophyta, Magnoliopsida, Poales, Poaceae.